GCCCGGAUGGUGGAAUCGGAAGACACAAGGGAUUUAAAAUCCCUCGGCGUUCGCGCUGUGCGGGUUCAAGUCCCGCUCCGGGUACCA
This 87-nucleotide transfer RNA is filed under the name Salmonella enterica. RNAcentral describes it as "tRNA-Leu". It matches the Rfam family "tRNA". From Rfam's summary of the family: Transfer RNA (tRNA) molecules are approximately 80 nucleotides in length. Their secondary structure includes four short double-helical elements and three loops (D, anti-codon, and T loops). Further hydrogen bonds mediate the characteristic L-shaped molecular structure. tRNAs have two regions of fundamental functional importance: the anti-codon, which is responsible for specific mRNA codon recognition, and the 3' end, to which the tRNAs corresponding amino acid is attached (by aminoacyl-tRNA synthetases). tRNAs cope with the degeneracy of the genetic code in two manners: having more than one tRNA (with a specific anti-codon) for a particular amino acid; and 'wobble' base-pairing, i.e. permitting non-standard base-pairing at the 3rd anti-codon position. Lineage: Bacteria; Pseudomonadati; Pseudomonadota; Gammaproteobacteria; Enterobacterales; Enterobacteriaceae. The record is from RNAcentral.